Molecule: ribosomal RNA, 501 nt
Filed under: Prolytta semilineata
Lineage: Eukaryota; Metazoa; Arthropoda; Insecta; Coleoptera; Meloidae
Description: partial large subunit ribosomal RNA
Rfam family: Archaeal large subunit ribosomal RNA
Source: RNAcentral
CGCCUGUUUAUCAAAAACAUGUCUUUUUGUUAAUUAUUUAAAGUCUGGCCUGCUCAAUGAUUAAUUUAAUAGCCGCAGUAUUUUGACUGUGCAAAGGUAGCAUAAUCAUUAGUUUUUUAAUUGAAAGCUGGAAUGAAUGGUCGGAUAAGGAAACUUCUGUCUCAUCUUGAUUGAAUAAAAUUUUAUUUUUAAGUUAAAAAGCUUAAAUUUUAUAGAAAGACGAGAAGACCCUAUAGAGUUUAAUAAGAUAAUGUUUUAGUUGUAUUAGGUUUUAAAUACUGCUAUUUCACGACUUAUUUUGUUGGGGUGACAUAAGAAUUUGAUGAACUUCUUUUUUUAAAAACAUUGAUUUAUGAGUAUUUGAUCCUGAGUUUUGGAUUUAAAGAAUAAAUUACCUUAGGGAUAACAGCGUAAUUUUUUUAGAGAGUUCUUAUCGAUAAAAGAGAUUGCGACCUCGAUGUUGGAUUAAAGUUAAAUUUUGGUGCAGAAGCUAGAAUUUUA